This 1471-nucleotide unclassified non-coding RNA is filed under the name Hevea brasiliensis (rubber tree). The record is from RNAcentral. Lineage: Eukaryota; Viridiplantae; Streptophyta; Magnoliopsida; Malpighiales; Euphorbiaceae.
UAGGGGUGAGCAUUAAUUGGUUAAAACCGAAAACCGAACCACUUUAAUUAGGUUUUUCGAUUUCAGUUUUCAGCGGUUCAAUUCAAUUUCGGUUUUAGUUAUAACUAAAAAAAAUUGUUUCUCAGUUUGAUUAAUUCAAUAAAAAAAGAGAAAAAAACUGAACCGAAUUGAUUUUAUGCAAAGUGCUACGUUUUGAUGUGUAUAUCUAUUCAUUUUAAAGAAAACCCUAGGUGUCCCUAAAACAGCUACCCAAUAGCCUCCCUUUCAUUGUCUCUCUGCUUAGCCCUACCCCCACCUUACAGCCUCUCCUCCCUACAUUUUCUCAGUCUCAACCUACUAUUCUCACUCAAUCAUCGUCGCUCCUUAAGUCGUUGCCGGGCACCACUCCUUGCUCUCUUGUCACUCGUUGCUCCUCGCCCUCUCAUUGGUCGUUUGAGAUCUUUGCAAGUUGCAACAUGCUCUGGCCUCACUUUCCUUCUUCAAUUUGAUUGCAUGUGGGUUUUAAGAUAUUUGUGUACUAAUUUUCCCUCUUUCUAUUUUUGGACUAUUUUUCCUCUCUAGCCUAUUUGUAUAACAAUCAAUAAUGAUUGAUUUCCUUGAUCCUUUUUUUAUGAUUUUUUUUUUUACUAUUGAAUUGCUGAUUGUUGUUGGUUUAUUGCAUACCACUCCAGUUGAUUUGUUAUAUACUGCUUAGGAAUUGUUGUUGAUUAAAAUUGCUAUCAAAUUGUGAUGGAAUUGAUGUGAAAUUACAAUGCUGGUGACCUAUGAAACUGUAACCUAAGGGAGAGUAGCAAAACCAAUGGGCCAAACUAAAUUGAAAUGAAAAUUUUUGUUCGGUUUGAUUUGAUUUUCUCUAUAUAUCGGUUCGAUUUGAUUCAAUUUGAUUCUCAUAAUUUUAUAAUGUGGUUUUCCGGUUAGUUCGGCUUCAUUCGAUUCAAAACCGAACCAAUAGAUUGCACACCCUUACUUGCACUACACGCGGUGGCCCAUCUACUAGAUUCUGGCCUCUUCUUUUUGGCUCAGCCCUACAGGUCUAGUUCUUUUUACUAGUCCAUUGAUCCACUUCAGCCUGGCUCACUACAAUACUACCCAACAUGCUUUUCAUGUCCUAAACUAUUACCUACUCUGAUACCAUGUAAAAUCUCUAACGGAGAGUGUGGAUGACAAGUAGCAAAGGUCCAUGCAUUGAGAUUGGGGUUGCCUCUACCAAAAUGACUCAAGUCAGUUUGGCUUGCUUCCCCUUGCUAUAUAUUUUCUUGCUUUUUCUUAUUUGUUACUGAUGUGGGACACCCAACAAUUAGGUUAUGUUAAUCACCUAGAGGUUCAAGUGGCUUAAUUUUGCCAUCCAUGUCUCUUAAUUAACAUUCAAGGAACUAGAAAUAGAUUGCUUAAAGCAAAAUACAAUAUAAUAAAUAAGACCUUGCUCAAGAUCACACACACUGGUGAAUAUGUUAAUGGGGUUAGAUUCUCU